GCCCAAGAUGUCUGAACCUGUCUGAAGCAUCUUUUUGAUGUAGUCUAUGUGGUUCUGAGA
RNAcentral lists this small RNA (60 nucleotides) under Mus musculus (house mouse). RNAcentral describes it as "small nucleolar RNA, C/D box 91A (Snord91a)". Lineage: Eukaryota; Metazoa; Chordata; Mammalia; Rodentia; Muridae. The record is from RNAcentral.